CCUCCUCCCCUUCUCGCCUCCAAAUCCGGACCCCUUCCCCUUGCCGCCUUCCCCGGCCGAGUACGCCAUGUCUAACCCUACGGCUGCCUCUGGAUCCCGGCUUCGCGCUGGCGCAUGCUCGUCCCCUCAGAGACCACUUGCCUCGAUUUUUCAUCCUUCAUUAGGUACAUGUUCCCAGUCUUCUGGAGUGGUUGUGUUGAUCUUGCUUAUUUAGAUCCUUUUGCGAUGUAGUUUUUGUUGCAGUUCUGUUCGAUGUAUCAUGAGAGUAUACACCUUUGUGUGUGGAUGCGGCAAUUUUUUGAGGUCUUUGGCUGUUCUGAAGGUCUAAUGAAUAACCUAAUUCGAAUAUUCACCAUUACAUCUGCUAUUUGAGGAACAGUAGUAUUGGACGGGGGAGAAAAGUCUUCUUUGUGAAACUACAAGUACUGUAACACAGUGGUCCUCUUCCGAAGCUUUACAAGAAACAUGCACAUCGUUGUGGUUCAGGAACCCCUUUCAACUUUGUGAAUCGCCAAUGCUUUUCGAGUGGUGGGUUCUGCUGCUGCUGCUUGAUUAUUUCUUCAGUCCAAGUCCGUGAAUGUGCUGCAAAAGAGAGGACGCUUUGGGCCUACCCACAUGACUUGCUUGAGCGAGGCCUAGUGGCGCCUGCUCCGGCAAGCAUGCCUGCGGCGAUGCGGCUUCUUCCGAGUUCCCAUCUCAGUUCACUUAUGGUUGGUGUGCCAUUUACUUUCCCUCCCACUCCUCCGCAGUACAACUUUUCUCCAGAAGAUGUUGGCUUCCAGCACAGAGAGAUCUACCGUUUGUCGUCCCCAGAUGUACCUAAUGAACGAUCUAGAUUUGCUGCUGCUGCUGCUGCAGAUUUGUCACCAUCUUCGACGACAACACAGUACUAUUUGAUACAUCCCCCUAGAUUGGGCCUAUAUAACCCCAUUCAGAUCCUUGGUCUAAAUCUUAGUUGAUGAUCUGUAUAAAUUUCCUGAUGUAAAUAUAUUUUCAUUGAAACAAUAUUGCUAUCUUUUUGUCAACACUUUUUUAUUAUAUCAUCUAAUAUUAUUGUUUGGCUGGUGCAUAUCAGCAGGGUGGAAACACGCAAGAAUAAAUGGGGCCACGGGAUACCUACCCAAUCAUGAUGGGUCCGGCGAGAUCGCAGCCACCGGGGUGGCAUUACAAGUAUCUCGCCACAUGUCGCUCUUACACCUUCCCCUUUGCCCCCACAUGGUCUACUUUUCUCCACGUGCCCGUUGACCCGAUACGUGGCCCUCAGAAAAGUCGCGUGCCCAAUUUAUUUCUACC
Musa acuminata subsp. malaccensis (wild Malaysian banana) is the source of this 1293-nucleotide long non-coding RNA. RefSeq lists it as uncharacterized. Lineage: Eukaryota; Viridiplantae; Streptophyta; Magnoliopsida; Zingiberales; Musaceae. The record is from RefSeq and is a predicted model, not a curated record.